CUUUUUCUUUUUUUCUUUCUAUUUUCUUUCUUCCCCUUCUUCUUCCUCUCUCGAACCUUAGCCCGCCGCCGCUUGUACCGCCGUUACGAUCCCCGCUUGGUGGUGCAACGAUGGCCGGUAUCUCCUCUCUUUUUUUCUCUUUUCUUUCUCUCCUUUCCUUUUUCCUUUCUCUCUUUCUUUCUCCCCUCUUCCUCUUCUAUUUUGACGACCCCAAAGUGGAAGGCACCACCGCCGUGCUCGUCUUCGGCUCCUCUCCGCACUUGGUGGUCGACGACUCAAAGGUGGUGGCUUUGGUGUUUGUAGUGGUGGUGGUGGUUGCGGUGGUGGUGUUUGCGCGAGGGUGGUGGUGGAGGCUUUGCUUGCUGCUGUUUUUAUUUUUUUGAAUUUUCUCUGCUGUUUUCUUUUUCUUUGGCUGCUGAAAAAAUUGAGAACCCCAUCUCUUUCUCAUUUCCUUCUUUUUAAUCUUUUUGAUUUGUCAUCUUCUUCUUUGUUUUCAGGUGGCAGCGGAGAAGGGAGGCCAUGCAUUGGGGGUGCCAGGCGUGGCAAGCGGGGCACGCCUGACUGCUGAUUGGUGGCGGUCUUGUCAUGCCCAGAAGGACCAAAAUGCAAAGGGUGCAAAAUUUCUGGGGAAAAAUGUAAUUUUAAGAAAAUACGGGGCCAAAAUGUAAUUUUAGAAAGUUAAGGGGUCAAAAUGAAAUUUUAAGAAAGUUAAGGGGUCAAGAUACAAUUUUGAAAAAAGUUUAGGGGUUGAAAUGUAAUUUAUAUUUUUUUAAUUUUUUUCAAAAUUUUAUUAUUACUAUUAAUAUUUAAAACAUAGAUUAAAAAUGGACUAAAACCUAAGUAAGCCCAAAAUUAAAUCUUAAUGGGCCCAAUCAUUGGGCCCAUAUGAGACCAGCCCGGCCCAAAACCCUACCCCGGCAAAAUUUAGUGAUUACACUCAGGUUUCCUCUAAAUCUCAGUUGCACCAGAAAACCAAGAAAAUACUAUUUUUACAUUCCCAUUCGGCACAUUUGAGUAUAGAAGGAUGCCAUUUAGAUUUUGCAACGCACCAACCACCUUUCAAAGAUGCAUGAUGAGUAUAUUUUCUAAAUAUGUAGAAAACGUUAUCGAAUUUUUGAUUGAUUAUUUUACUGUGCAUGGGAACUGUUUUGAUGAAUGCCUUAAAAACCUUACGAUAAUUUUAAGUAGAUGCAUAGAAUUUAUUCUUGUCUUGAAUUACGAAAAGUGUCAUUUUAUGGUAGACAAAGGUUUAAUUCUAGGACAUAUAGUUUCAGCUAAAGGGAUUAAAUUUAAUAAGGCCAAAACUGACAUUAUAAAUUCUUUGCCAUAUCCCUCAAUUGUAAGGGAAAUCCGUUCUUUCUUUAGCCAUGCAGGGUUUUACAGGCACUUUAUAAAGAACUUCUCAAAAGUAGUUGAACCACUAUGCGAAUUGUUGCAGAACGAUAAGAAUUUUGAGUUCCACCCAAAAUGCAAAGAGGCUUUUGACACACUCAAACAAAAGUUGGUUUCAACUCCUAUAGUCCAAGCACUAAAUUGGAACUAUCCCUUUGAAAUUAUGUAUGAUGCAAGCGAGCACAGUGUGGGGGUCGUGUUGGGGUAAAAGAUAGACAGAGAGCCUCAUGUCAUUUGUUAUGCCUCAAAAACCCUAGAUGCUGCACAAACUCUUAGGUACUUGAUCGCAAAGAAGGAAGCAAAACCAAAGCUUAUUAGAUGGAUUUUACUGCUCCAAGAAUUCAACAUCGAGAUUCAAGACAAGAAGAGAUGCAAAAACUUGGUGGCUGACCACUUGAGUAGGUUAAAAACACCUUGUGAUGACACUUCUAUAAAGGAUGAAUUUUCUGAUGAGGGCCUAUUUUCGGCCAAUGCACAUUUUCCAUGGUAUGCGGAUAUGGUAAAUCUCUUUGCCACAAGUUCAUAGCCUACUAGGUUAGCACGUUCCAUGAAAAACAAGCUCAAAAGGGAAGCUCAAUAUUAUAUUUGGGAUGACCCAUAUCUGUGGAAACAUUUCUCAGAUCAGAUAAGAAGACGAUGUGUUCCAAAAAUCGAGUUGGCUUUUAUACUCACAUUUUGUCAUACCGAAGCUUGUGAAGGUCACUUUGGCUCUAAACGAACUGCUCAUAAGGUAUUAAAGUGUGGGCUAUACUGGCUCACAAUUUUUUGAGACACAUAUAAUUUCUGUAAAUCUUAAGAUAAAUGCCAACAUACAUGUAACAUAACUAAGCGAAAUCAAAUGCCCCUAUCCCCAAUUCAUGUAUGUGAGAUUUUUAAUGUGCGGGGCAUCGACUUCAUAGGUCCGUUUAUUUCCUCAUUUAGAAAUAUGUAUAUAAUUCUUGCAGUA
Molecule: RNA transcript, 2338 nt
Organism: Gossypium raimondii (Peruvian cotton)
Lineage: Eukaryota; Viridiplantae; Streptophyta; Magnoliopsida; Malvales; Malvaceae
Exons: 3
Source: RefSeq, a predicted model, not a curated record